UAGGGAAUCUUCGGCAAUGGACGAAAGUCUGACCGAGCAACGCCGCGUGAGUGAAGAAGGUUUUCGGAUCGUAAAACUCUGUUGUUAGAGAAGAACAAGUGGGAGAGUAACUGUUCCCACCUUGACGGUAUCUAACCAGAAAGCCACGGCUAACUACGUGCCAGCAGCCGCGGUAAUACGUAGGUGGCAAGCGUUGUCCGGAUUUAUUGGGCGUAAAGCGAGCGCAGGCGGUUUCUUAAGUCUGAUGUGAAAGCCCUCGGCUCAACCGAGGAAGGUCAUUGGAAACUGGGAACCUGAAUGCAGAAGAGGAGAGUGGAAUUCCAUGUGUAGCGGUGAAAUUGCGUAGAUAUAUGGAGGAACACCAGUGGCGAAAGGCGACUCUCUGGUCUGUAAUUGACGCUGAGGCUCGAAAGCGUGGGAGCAAAACA
RNAcentral lists this ribosomal RNA (428 nucleotides) under uncultured Vagococcus sp. RNAcentral describes it as "bacterial SSU rRNA". It matches the Rfam family "Bacterial small subunit ribosomal RNA", at positions 355 to 774 of the family's 1533-position model. The record is from RNAcentral. Lineage: Bacteria; Bacillati; Bacillota; Bacilli; Lactobacillales; Enterococcaceae.